GACGAACGCUGGCGGCGUGCUUAACACAUGCAAGUCGAACGGAAAGGCCCUGCUUUUGUGGGGUGCUCGAGUGGCGAACGGGUGAGUAACACGUGAGUAACCUGCCCUUGACUUUGGGAUAACUUCAGGAAACUGGGGCUAAUACCGGAUAGGAGCUCCUGCUGCAUGGUGGGGGUUGGAAAGUUUCGGCGGUUGGGGAUGGACUCGCGGCUUAUCAGCUUGUUGGUGGGGUAGUGGCUUACCAAGGCUUUGACGGGUAGCCGGCCUGAGAGGGUGACCGGCCACAUUGGAACUGAGAUACGGCCCAGCCUCCUACGGGAGGCAGCAGUGGGGAAUAUUGCACAAUGGGCGGGAGGCAGAUGCAGCAACGCCGCGUGCGGGAUGACGGCCUUCGGGUUGUAAACCGCUUUCGCCUGUGACGAAGCGUGAGUGACGGUAAUGGGUAAAGAAGCACCGGCUAACUACGUG
This 468-nucleotide ribosomal RNA is filed under the name uncultured bacterium. RNAcentral's name for it is "partial 16S ribosomal RNA". It matches the Rfam family "Bacterial small subunit ribosomal RNA", at positions 28 to 507 of the family's 1533-position model. The record is from RNAcentral.